GAGUGAACGCUGGCGGUAGGCCUAACACAUGCAAGUCGAACGGCAGCCCAGUAAGAGCUUGCUCUUACGGGUGGCGAGUGGCGGACGGGUGAGGAAUACAUCGGAAUCUACUUUUUCGUGGGGGAUAACGUAGGGAAACUUACGCUAAUACCGCAUACGACCUACGGGUGAAAGCGGGGGAUCUUCGGACCUUGCGCGAUUGAAUGAGCCGAUGUCGGAUUAGCUAGUUGGCGGGGUAAAGGCCCACCAAGGCGACGAUCCGUAGCUGGUCUGAGAGGAUGAUCAGCCACACUGGAACUGAGACACGGUCCAGACUCCUACGGGAGGCAGCAGUGGGGAAUAUUGGACAAUGGGCGCAAGCCUGAUCCAGCCAUACCGCGUGGGUGAAGAAGGCCUUCGGGUUGUAAAGCCCUUUUGUUGGGAAAGAAAAGCAGCAGGUUAAUACCCCGCUGUUCUGACGGUACCCAAAGAAUAAGCACCGGCUAACUUCGUG
Molecule: ribosomal RNA, 493 nt
Filed under: uncultured bacterium
Lineage: Bacteria
Description: partial 16S ribosomal RNA
Rfam family: Bacterial small subunit ribosomal RNA
Source: RNAcentral